AGAAUCAACGCUGGCGGCGUGCCUAACACAUGCAAGUCGCACGAGAAAGGGACUUCGGUCCUGAGUAAAGUGGCGCACGGGUGAGUAACACGUGAAUCAUCUACCUCCGAGUGGGGAAUAACCUAGAGAAAUCUGGGCUAAUACCGCAUAAUACCCACGGGUCAAAGGAGCAAUUCGCUUGAGGAGGGGGUCGCGGCAGAUUAGUUAGUUGGCGGGGUAAUGGCCCACCAAGACGAUGAUCUGUA
RNAcentral lists this ribosomal RNA (245 nucleotides) under uncultured bacterium. RNAcentral's name for it is "partial small subunit ribosomal RNA". It matches the Rfam family "Bacterial small subunit ribosomal RNA", at positions 26 to 285 of the family's 1533-position model. The record is from RNAcentral.